CAAUAGCGUAUAUUAAAGUUGUUGCAGUUAAAAAGCUCGUAGUUGGAUUUCUGGUUGAAGCGACCGGUCGGGCGUUGAUUCGUCUGCACUGGAGUCGGUUUUGGCCAUCCUCUAGGAAAGUGCGUCUGGUAUUAAGUUAUCGGGCGUAUGAUCCUGGUCUUUUACUGUGAAAAAAUUAGAGUGUUUAAAGCAGGCCUUCGCCUUGAAUACAUUAGCAUGGAAUAAUAAGAUAGGACUUUGAUCUAUUUUGUUGGUUUGCAGACCGAAGUAAUGAUUAAUAGGGAUAGUUGGGGGUAUUUAUAUUCCGAUGUCAGAGGUGAAAUUCUUAGAUUUUCGGAAGAUAAACUUAUGCGAAAGCAUUUACCAAGGAUGUUUUCAUUAA
RNAcentral lists this ribosomal RNA (382 nucleotides) under uncultured eukaryote. Its description in RNAcentral is "partial 18S ribosomal RNA". It matches the Rfam family "Eukaryotic small subunit ribosomal RNA", at positions 592 to 976 of the family's 1831-position model. The record is from RNAcentral.